RNAcentral lists this ribosomal RNA (108 nucleotides) under uncultured bacterium. Its description in RNAcentral is "partial 16S ribosomal RNA". It matches the Rfam family "Bacterial small subunit ribosomal RNA", at positions 1365 to 1482 of the family's 1533-position model. The record is from RNAcentral.
AAUACGUUCCCGGACCUUGCACACACCGCCCGUCAAGCCAUGGGAGCCGGGUGUACCUAAAGUCGGUAACCGCAAGGAGCUGCCUAGGGUAAAAUCGGUGACUGGGCU